AACGCUAGCUACAGGCUUAACACAUGCAAGUCGAGGGGCAGCAUGGUCUUAGCUUGCUAAGGCCGAUGGCGACCGGCGCACGGGUGAGUAACACGUAUCCAACCUGCCGUCUACUCUUGGACAGCCUUCUGAAAGGAAGAUUAAUACAAGAUGGCAUCAUGAGUCCGCAUGUUCACAUGAUUAAAGGUAUUCCGGUAGACGAUGGGGAUGCGUUCCAUUAGAUAGUAGGCGGGGUAACGGCCCACCUAGCCUUCGAUGGAUAGGGGUUCUGAGAGGAAGGUCCCCCACAUUGGAACUGAGACACGGUCCAAACUCCUACGGGAGGCAGCAGUGAGGAAUAUUGGUCAAUGGGCGAGAGCCUGAACCAGCCAAGUAGCGUGAAGGAUGACUGCCCUAUGGGUUGUAAACUUCUUUUAUAAAGGAAUAAAGUCGGGUAUGGAUACCCGUUUGCAUGUACUUUAUGAAUAAGGAUCGGCUAACUCCGUGCCAGCAGCCGCGGUAAUACGGAGGAUCCGAGCGUUAUCCGGAUUUAUUGGGUUUAAAGGGAGCGUAGAUGGAUGUUUAAGUCAGUUGUGAAAGUUUGCGGCUCAACCGUAAAAUUGCAGUUGAUACUGGAUAUCUUGAGUGCAGUUGAGGCAGGCGGAAUUCGUGGUGUAGCGGUGAAAUGCUUAGAUAUCACGAAGAACUCCGAUUG
This 694-nucleotide ribosomal RNA is filed under the name uncultured bacterium. Its description in RNAcentral is "bacterial SSU rRNA". It matches the Rfam family "Bacterial small subunit ribosomal RNA", at positions 32 to 715 of the family's 1533-position model. The record is from RNAcentral.